This is an RNA transcript of Rhodamnia argentea, 866 nucleotides long. RefSeq lists it as uncharacterized. The record is from RefSeq and is a predicted model, not a curated record. The transcript is spliced from 5 exons. NCBI's taxonomy places the organism in Eukaryota, Viridiplantae, Streptophyta, Magnoliopsida, Myrtales, Myrtaceae.
CAUAGUAAAUACUAGGGCUUCAAUUCAACCAUUCUUGUGGAGUGACGUGGAGGGACGUGUACGUCUUCUUCGCAGGAGAGGAGGAGGAGGCUGAGGCUGAACUGAGAUGGUGGAGUAAGGAUGCGCAGAGCGAGCGAGCGAGCUCCGUAGAGGGUGACGAUGACGGUGGAUACGAACUUCGUGCACAGGACGUGGGAUAAGUGGGCUUCCUCUUAUGUUGGGUCUGGUGAUGGGCAACCGUUGAAGGCAGCUUUGCUACUCAAUCAUGACCCAACUGGACCAUCUCGAUUGUUGUCUACCAUUGCCAAACAAGAAGGAAUAAAGGCCGAUCCCAUUCAAAUGAGGCCAUUUCUUGAUUUUCUCAAAUGUGGAAAGCUCCAGACAGGGACUUUUUUUAUCGGGCCAAACCAAUAUCUUGUCACAUCAAUCCAUGAGAAUUGGUUCUGCGCAAGAUGCAUGAACGCAUCAAAUCCUGCCGGCGAAGGGGCGAUUGUCAUGCAAACAACAGCUUUCAUCUUGGUGGCACUGUGAGCAUUCGUUUUAAGAAUUUUAGCAGAUAGAAAGAAUUGGUUUAGGACUUGAGUGAAAGCAUACUAUUCAGUUUUAAGCAAUCAGAUAUUGUUGAUAAUGCUUUAGCGUGCAUUUCCUCCAUUUGUGGCAGGUAUGAUGGUUCAAUUGGAGCGGCAUCUAGUGCGAUAAUGGCUGCUGAUCAGUUUGCGUGGCAGUUAAUUCGAAGAAAUCUUUGACCUGUUGUAAUGGAGUUGAAUUGUAAGAAUCGAGAUUUUCUCUUGUUUUUCUGUUUUGAUAUGUAAAUCUCAAAGAGCUCAAAACUACGUUCACAUGCAAGUUCAAUGGUUUUUUAUUUC